CUGGCUCAAGUACAGUGGGUGGCAUAGCUGUAGCAGAGCAGAGACAAGCAAGUGCUGCAGAAUCCAAAGAACCAGAGCUUUAGAUAAAUAGCGACGCUUCUGGAAGGUCAGCCUGUGCCUGGAGGGAGAGGCCGAAGGUUCAGCACUGCUUCUGUAAAGAGCUUCUCAGAAGGAGGUGACAGCAGUGGUUACCCUGACCAGGAACGUGCCGCUUUCUACAGCCUGGACGCAGAGGCCUGUGCAGGAUCAGCCUCUCAGAGAAGGUAAGCUCUAAUAAUUAUUUUGUCUUUGCUCUCAUUCUUUGCAUUCAAGGAUGGUCUGAAACUUUGCAUAAUGGAGGAAGAAAGUCUCUCGAGGUAGAAGAUACUGUAUUUUGCUGUUCUAGCUACUAAAUUAAUUAAUCAGCCUACUGAAUAUUUGAUACAGCUGUGUACUACAGCUGGUUGUUGCAGUGUCUUGAUCCCA
This 465-nucleotide long non-coding RNA is filed under the name Gallus gallus (chicken). RNAcentral's name for it is "long non-coding RNA NONGGAT008552". Lineage: Eukaryota; Metazoa; Chordata; Aves; Galliformes; Phasianidae. The record is from RNAcentral.